RNAcentral lists this ribosomal RNA (460 nucleotides) under uncultured bacterium. Its description in RNAcentral is "bacterial SSU rRNA". It matches the Rfam family "Bacterial small subunit ribosomal RNA", at positions 29 to 511 of the family's 1533-position model. The record is from RNAcentral.
AACGAACGCUGGCGGCAGGCUUAAGACAUGCAAGUCGAGCGCACCCUUCGGGGUGAGCGGCGGACGGGUGAGUAACGCGUGGGAACGUGCCUUUCUCUAAGGAAUAGCCUCUGGAAACGGAGAGUAAUACCUUAUACGCCCUUCGGGGGAAAGAUUUAUCGGAGAGAGAUCGGCCCGCGUUGGAUUAGGUAGUUGGUGGGGUAAUGGCCUACCAAGCCGACGAUCCAUAGCUGGUUUGAGAGGAUGAUCAGCCACACUGGGACUGAGACACGGCCCAGACUCCUACGGGAGGCAGCAGUGGGGAAUAUUGGACAAUGGGGGAAACCCUGAUCCAGCAACGCCGCGUGGAGGAUGAAUGCCUUCGGGUUGUAAACUCCUGUCAGGUGAACGAAAGCAGCGGUGAAUAACUGCUGUCUAUGACGGUACCACCAGAGGAAGCCCCCGGUAAACUCCGUGCCAG